Molecule: transfer RNA, 73 nt
Filed under: Bartonella sp. Raccoon60
Lineage: Bacteria; Pseudomonadati; Pseudomonadota; Alphaproteobacteria; Hyphomicrobiales; Bartonellaceae
Description: tRNA-Ala
Rfam family: tRNA
About the family: Transfer RNA (tRNA) molecules are approximately 80 nucleotides in length.
Source: RNAcentral
AGGGCCGUAGCUCAGCUGGGAGAGCACCUGCUUUGCAAGCAGGGGGUCGUCGGUUCGAUCCCGUCCGGCUCCA